Molecule: long non-coding RNA, 199 nt
Organism: Perca fluviatilis (European perch)
Lineage: Eukaryota; Metazoa; Chordata; Actinopteri; Perciformes; Percidae
Exons: 3
Source: RefSeq, a predicted model, not a curated record
AGACAGAGACAGAGUCUUUGUCUCAAGGCUCCAAAGACUACAUUGCCCUGAUGGUUCUGCCAGGUCUGAUUCCACCUGCAGUCUUCAGAAAGGGCCGAAAGACCGCGAGGACUACAGUGUCUGACGCCAUGAAGGCCUUCAUCGAUCUUAAGCCUGUCGGAGCCAACAUGGUGGAGUACCUUCAGGCAGCAGACCAGAC